Molecule: ribosomal RNA, 466 nt
Filed under: uncultured bacterium
Lineage: Bacteria
Description: partial 16S ribosomal RNA
Rfam family: Bacterial small subunit ribosomal RNA
Source: RNAcentral
GAUGAACGCUGGCGGCGUGCUUAACACAUGCAAGUCGAACGAUGAAGCUCAGCUUGCUGGGUGGAUUAGUGGCGAACGGGUGAGUAACACGUGAGUAACCUGCCCUUAACUCUGGGAUAAGCCUGGGAAACUAGGUCUAAUACCGGAUAGGAGCGCCUACCGCAUGGUGGGUGUUGGAAAGAUUUAUCGGUUUUGGAUGGACUCGCGGCCUAUCAGCUUGUUGGUGAGGUAAUGGCUCACCAAGGCGACGACGGGUAGCCGGCCUGAGAGGGUGACCGGCCACACUGGGACUGAGACACGGCCCAGACUCCUACGGGAGGCAGCAGUGGGGAAUAUUGCACAAUGGGCGAAAGCCUGAUGCAGCGACACCGCGUGAGGGAUGACGGCCUUCGGGUUGUAAACCUCUUUCAGUAGGGAAGAAGCGAAAGUGACGGUACCUGCAGAAGAAGCACCGGCUAACUACGUG